Epinephelus fuscoguttatus (brown-marbled grouper) is the source of this 1048-nucleotide long non-coding RNA. RefSeq lists it as uncharacterized. The record is from RefSeq and is a predicted model, not a curated record. NCBI's taxonomy places the organism in Eukaryota, Metazoa, Chordata, Actinopteri, Perciformes, Serranidae. The transcript is spliced from 3 exons.
UGACUGUGAUGCAGACAAGUGUUAGAGUCAUGUGACUGUGAUGCAGACAGGUGUUAGAGUCAUGUGACUGAUGCAGACAGGUAUUAGAGUCAUGUGACUGUGAUGCAGACAAGUGUUAGAGUCAUGUGACUGAUGCAGACAGGUAUUAGAGUCAUGUGACUGUGAUGCAGACAGGUGUUAGAAUCAUGUGACUGUGAUGCAGACAGGUGUUAGAGUCAUGUUACUGAUGCAGACAGGUGUUAGAGUCAUGUGACUGUGAUGCAGACAGGUGUUAGAAUCAUGUGACUGUGAUGCAGACAGGUGUUAGAAUCAUGUGACUGAUGCAGACAGGUAUUAGAGUCAUGUGACUGUGAUGCAGACAGGUGUUAGAAUCAUGUGACUGUGAUGCAGACAGGUGUUAGAGUCAUGUUACUGAUGCAGACAGGUGUUAGAGUCAUGUGACUGUGAUGCAGACAGGUGUUAGAAUCAUGUGACUGUGAUGCAGACAGGUGUUAGAAUCAUGUGACUGUGAUGCAGACAGGUGUUAGAGUCAUGUUACUGAUGCAGACAGGUGUUAGAGUCAUGUGACUGAUGCAGACAGGUGUUAGAGUCAUGUGACUGAUGCAGACAGGUAUUAGAGUCAUGUGACUGUGAUGCAGACAGGUGUUAGAAUCAUGUGACUGUGAUGCAGACAGGUGUUAGAGUCAUGUUACUGAUGCAGACAGGUGUUAGAGUCAUGUGACUGUGAUGCAGACAGGUGUUAGAAUCAUGUGACUGUGAUGCAGACAGGUGUUAGAAUCAUGUGACUGAUGCAGACAGGUAUUAGAGUCAUGUGACUGUGAUGCAGACAGGUGUUAGAAUCAUGUGACUGUGAUGCAGACAGGUGUUAGAGUCGUGACUGUGAUGCAGACAGGUGUUAGAGUCAUGUGACUGUGAUGCAGACAGGUGUUAGAAUCAUGUGACUGUGAUGCAGACAGGUGUUAGAAUCAUGUGACUGAUGCAGACAGGUAUUAGAGUCAUGUGACUGUGAUGCAGACAGGUGUUAGAAUCAUGUGACUGUGAUGCAGAC